UUAAGGAGGUGGGAAUUGAACCCACAACAAAGAAG
RNAcentral lists this transfer RNA (35 nucleotides) under Hemicentrotus pulcherrimus. RNAcentral describes it as "tRNA-Gln". The record is from RNAcentral. Lineage: Eukaryota; Metazoa; Echinodermata; Echinoidea; Camarodonta; Strongylocentrotidae.